UACGUAGGGGGCAAGCGUUGUCCGGAAUCAUUGGGCGUAAAGCGCGCGUAGGCGGCUCUGUAAGUCCGUUGUGAAAGUCAAAGGCUCAACCUUUGAAAGCCGAUGGAUACUGCAGGGCUAGAGUCCGGAAGAGGCGAGUGGAAUUCCUGGUGUAGCGGUGGAAUGCGCAGAUAUCAGGAGGAACACCAAUAGCGAAGGCAGCUCGCUGGGACGGUACUGACGCUGAGGUGCGAAAGCGUGGGGAGCAAACAGG
RNAcentral lists this ribosomal RNA (253 nucleotides) under uncultured bacterium. Its description in RNAcentral is "partial 16S ribosomal RNA". It matches the Rfam family "Bacterial small subunit ribosomal RNA", at positions 524 to 776 of the family's 1533-position model. The record is from RNAcentral.